AUUGAACGCUGGCGGCAGGCCUAACACAUGCAAGUCGAACGGUAACAGGAAGAAGCUUGCUUCUUUGCUGACGAGUGGCGGACGGGUGAGUAAUGUCUGGGAAAUUGCCUGAUGGAGGGGGAUAACUACUGGAAACGGUAGCUAAUACCGCAUAACGUCGCAAGACCAAAAAGGGGGACCUUCGGGCCUCUUGCCAUCUGAUGUGCCCAGAUGGGAUUAGCUAGUAGGUGGGGUAACGGCUCACCUAGGCGACGAUCCCUAUCUGUUCUGAGAGGAUGACCAGCCAAACUGGAACUGAGACACGGUCCAGACUCCUACGGGAGGCAGCAGUGGGGAAUAUUGCACAAUGGGCGCAAGCCUGAUGCAGCCAUGCGGCGUGUAUGAAGAAGGCCUUCGGGUGGUAAAGUACUUUCAGCGGGGAGAAAGGGAGUAAAGUUAAUACCUUUGCUCAUUGACGUUACCCGCAGAAGAAGCACCGGCUAACUCCGU
This 489-nucleotide ribosomal RNA is filed under the name uncultured bacterium. Its description in RNAcentral is "partial 16S ribosomal RNA". It matches the Rfam family "Bacterial small subunit ribosomal RNA", at positions 30 to 506 of the family's 1533-position model. The record is from RNAcentral.